UUUUUCAGAAUCGACUGGUUUAUUCUUUGGGUUGUCUAAAAAGG
RNAcentral lists this transfer RNA (44 nucleotides) under Ctenophora environmental sample. RNAcentral describes it as "partial tRNA". Lineage: Eukaryota; Metazoa; Ctenophora. The record is from RNAcentral.